Molecule: ribosomal RNA, 72 nt
Filed under: Pestalotiopsis cocculi
Lineage: Eukaryota; Fungi; Ascomycota; Sordariomycetes; Amphisphaeriales; Sporocadaceae
Description: partial 28S ribosomal RNA
Rfam family: Eukaryotic large subunit ribosomal RNA (bases 12-72)
Source: RNAcentral
UUUUUAAUGGUUGACCUCGGAUCAGGUAGGAAUACCCGCUGAACUUAAGCAUAUCAAUAAGCGGAGGAAAAA